UUUAUAUAAGGUCUGGUCUGCUCACUGAUUUUUAAAGAGCCGCAGUAUUUUGACUGUGCGAAGGUAGCAUAAUAAUUAGUUUUUUAAUUGGAAACUGGUAUGAAUGGUUGGACGAGAAAAUAACUGUCUCUUUUUAAUUAAGAUGAAUUUUACUUUUAAGUUAAAAGGCUUAAAUUUUUUUAAAAGACGAGAAGACCCUAUAGAGUUUUAUUUUUGAAAUUUUUAUUAAUUUUAGGUAUUUAAUUUUUUAUGAAUUUUUAAAAUUUAAUUGGGGUGAUUGAAAAAUUGAUUAAACUUUUUUUUUAUUAAUACAAAUUUAUUUGAUAAUUUGAUCCACUUUUUGUGAUUAUAAGAUUAAAUUACCUUAGGGAUAACAGCGUAAUCUUUCUUGAGAGUCCUUAUCGAAAGAAGGGGUUGCG
This 419-nucleotide ribosomal RNA is filed under the name Trogoderma sternale. RNAcentral describes it as "partial 16S ribosomal RNA". Lineage: Eukaryota; Metazoa; Arthropoda; Insecta; Coleoptera; Dermestidae. The record is from RNAcentral.